UUUCAGGGCAGGGUGAAAGUCCCUACUGGUGGUAAAGUCCACGACCCAUUGCAAAAUGGCUGAUUUGGUGCAAUUCCAAAACCAACGGUUAAAGUCCGGAUGAGAGAAA
RNAcentral lists this non-coding RNA (109 nucleotides) under uncultured Eubacterium sp. Its description in RNAcentral is "FMN riboswitch (RFN element)". It matches the Rfam family "FMN riboswitch aptamer (RFN element)". From Rfam's summary of the family: The RFN element is a highly conserved domain that is found frequently in the 5'-untranslated regions of prokaryotic mRNAs that encode for flavin mononucleotide (FMN) biosynthesis and transport proteins. This element is a metabolite-dependent riboswitch that directly binds FMN in the absence of proteins. In Bacillus subtilis, the riboswitch most likely controls gene expression by causing premature transcription termination within the 5' untranslated region of the ribDEAHT operon and precluding access to the ribosome-binding site of ypaA mRNA. The record is from RNAcentral. Lineage: Bacteria; Bacillati; Bacillota; Clostridia; Eubacteriales; Eubacteriaceae.